This is a long non-coding RNA of Ornithodoros turicata, 1019 nucleotides long. RefSeq lists it as uncharacterized. The transcript has 2 exons. The record is from RefSeq and is a predicted model, not a curated record. Lineage: Eukaryota; Metazoa; Arthropoda; Arachnida; Ixodida; Argasidae.
GCCUUGUUUGAAAGACAGGCCGGAGCUCAUUUUAACGUAAAUAUCGCUGGUCCCGUGUUAUGCUGUGUAACAGUCAGGAGUGUUGACCAUAUACAUUAAAGUACAACCGUUCACAGUUUAUCUUCCCCACCUCCCCGGAGGAGCGUGGUUGGGACUCGAUAUUAUACAUUUUUGAUGGGCAGCAAAUCUUGAGAAGCACGUUCUGUCUAUACGGACACGUUACAUACACAUGAAUCCGGCUGGCUAAACACGCGUCACAUAGAACACGCCAGCAUAACGUGUGCUCACGUUCUUUCGGACAUGCGCUUAUAUGGAAGUUUUUGCCACCACUGACGUCAAUAUUCUUGUUUAGUAUAACCGUUGUGAGAUGCUUUAUAAGAAUCCAACCACUGAUCUAGCGUUCACAACGCAAGUCUCACCGCUACAAGAUGCAGUUUGCCGGCUUAUGUCUUGGCUUUUUUUUUUACACGUUGCUUUCAUGCAACGCCAUACAAGGCUCAUAUCGGGGCAAGACCGCCGUAACGAAGGACGAACACAAAUACCCGGAAGGCACGGAUCCUACACCAAACAGUGUCGAUGCAAUGCAAGACCUUGAAAACGAACACCGUUCGACGCAUAUGGCAGGCCCUGGUCAGCCGCGGCAACACUGGAAACGCGGCAUAUGUCGUAUCACAUUUUGUGCAAGCGUUUGUAAUGUUAUUCCUGCAACAUUUCGUCGAGGAUGUAUUGUUACUUGCUUGAAAAUCAGCGUCGGUAUACCACUCUGUUGGUGAGAAAACAGCGAUGGAACCUUUUUGGCAGGAGAAAGUUGUGAUUAAUUAAAAUUAAACACGCCAAUCCAUCUGUGAUAGCAGGACCUCAGUAGCAGGUCAGUGUAGUGUAGAAGCACGAAUUUAUUCACGAUUAUCAGCUUAAAACAUGGGUCUGCUUUAAAAUCGUGCGGCAGCCCAGCGCUCCUGUACUAUGUUCCAAUGAAAACGCCAAGACUGAAUGAAAAUAAAGAGUGAAUGUAUGGCAGA